GGGCCCGCACAAGCGGUGGAGCAUGUGGAUUAAUUCGAAGCAACGCGAAGAACCUUACCUAGCCUUGACAUCCUUGGAACUCUCCCGAAAAGGAGAGGUGCCCUUCGGGGAAUCAAGUGACAGGUGCUGCAUGGCUGUCGUCAGCUCGUGUCGUGAGAUGUUGGGUUAAGUCCCGCAACGAGCGCAACCCACGUCUUUAGUUGCCAGCAUUUAGUUGGGCACUCUAGAGAGACCGCCGGUGAUAAACCGGAGGAAGGUGUGGAUGACGUCAAGUCAUCAUGCCCCUUACAUCCUGGGCUACACACGUAAUACAAUGGAUGGUACAGAGGACGCCAACCCGCGAGGGGGAGCCAAUCCCAGAAAGCCAUUCGUAGUCCGGAUUGUUGUCUGCAACUCGACAACAUGAAGUCGGAAUCGCUAGUAAUCG
Molecule: ribosomal RNA, 427 nt
Filed under: uncultured bacterium
Lineage: Bacteria
Description: bacterial SSU rRNA
Rfam family: Bacterial small subunit ribosomal RNA
Source: RNAcentral